This 519-nucleotide ribosomal RNA is filed under the name uncultured eukaryote. Its description in RNAcentral is "SSU rRNA". It matches the Rfam family "Eukaryotic small subunit ribosomal RNA", at positions 1161 to 1699 of the family's 1831-position model. The record is from RNAcentral.
AGGGCACCACCAGGAGUGGAGCCUGCGGCUUAAUUUGACUCAACACGGGAAAACUCACCCGGCCCGGACACUGGAAGGAUUGACAGAUUGAGAGCUCUUUCUUGAUUCAGUGGGUGGUGGUGCAUGGCCGUUCUUAGUUGGUGGAGCGAUUUGUCUGGUUAAUUCCGAUAACGAACGAGACUCUAGCCUACUAAAUAGAUCGUCGGCUUACAAACGCCGAUGAGACUUCUUAGAGGGACAGGCGGCGAUUCAGCCGCACGAAACAGAGCAAUAACAGGUCUGUGAUGCCCUUAGAUGUCCGGGGCCGCACGCGCGCUACACUGAAGUGAUCAGCGUGCAUUUUCAGUCUACUCUGCCAAGAGUGGGAAACCCAAUGAACCUUCUUCGUGAUUGGGAUAGGGGAUUGUAAUUAUUCCCCUUGAACGAGGAAUUCCCAGUAAGCGCGAGUCAUAAGCUCACGUUGAUUACGUCCCUGCCCUUUGUACACACCGCCCGUCGCUACUACCGAUUGAAUGUUUU